GGCGCACUGUCCAGCACGCCGGCAGACAGACCCAGAUCAGAAGGCCUGGACUUGGUACGUGAACGCCAGAAGGGCUGAGGUGCUGUUUCCUGAGGAGCUGUUCCAGGACUAGCGAGGAGCCUUUCCAAGCGUCACAGAAGGACGGGCCAGCGUUAACACGGCAUCGAG
This is a long non-coding RNA of Malaclemys terrapin pileata, 168 nucleotides long. RefSeq lists it as uncharacterized. The record is from RefSeq and is a predicted model, not a curated record. The transcript is spliced from 3 exons. NCBI's taxonomy places the organism in Eukaryota, Metazoa, Chordata, Testudines, Emydidae.